UACGUAGGGUGCGAGCGUUGUCCGGAAUUAUUGGGCGUAAAGAGCUCGUAGGCGGUGUGUCGCGUCGGCCGUGAAAACCUGGGGCUCAACUCUGGGCGUGCGGUCGAUACGGGCAUCACUUGAGUUCGGCAGGGGAGACUGGAAUUCCUGGUGUAGCGGUGAAAUGCGCAGAUAUCAGGAGGAACACCGAUGGCGAAGGCAGGUCUCUGGGCAUUAACUGACGCUGAGGAGCGAAAGCAUGGGGAGCGAACAGG
Molecule: ribosomal RNA, 254 nt
Filed under: uncultured bacterium
Lineage: Bacteria
Description: partial 16S ribosomal RNA
Rfam family: Bacterial small subunit ribosomal RNA
Source: RNAcentral